This 107-nucleotide transfer RNA is filed under the name Colletotrichum tofieldiae. It matches the Rfam family "tRNA". Rfam says of the family: Transfer RNA (tRNA) molecules are approximately 80 nucleotides in length. Their secondary structure includes four short double-helical elements and three loops (D, anti-codon, and T loops). The record is from Rfam by way of RNAcentral. Lineage: Eukaryota; Fungi; Ascomycota; Sordariomycetes; Glomerellales; Glomerellaceae.
GUCUCUGUGGCUCAGUUGGAAGAGCGUUGGUCUCAUAGAAAAUCUUUAUGACUAUGUUUGUAGACAUAGAUAUCCAAAGGUCGCAAGUUCGAGCCUUGCCAGGGACA